CAGAGUAGAAACUGAUGCGUUUUACUAAACAUCGAUUGAAAUCAAGACAUCCGUUUUUUAUCGGAGUUUAGUAUAUAGUGUUUUCCAAACGGGGAGUUGUUGGAAAAACGAAAGGCAUUUGCCUGCGGUUGAGGUUUUGCAUCCCGCUGU
RNAcentral lists this non-coding RNA (150 nucleotides) under human gut metagenome. RNAcentral's name for it is "THF riboswitch". The stretch from base 60 to 148 matches the Rfam family "THF (Tetrahydrofolate) riboswitch aptamer". From Rfam's summary of the family: THF riboswitch presents a pseudoknot that joins P1-P2 and the loop of P3 and two THF binding. The record is from RNAcentral.